This 2031-nucleotide unclassified non-coding RNA is filed under the name Gigantopelta aegis. RNAcentral describes it as "uncharacterized LOC121368991, transcript variant X3". Lineage: Eukaryota; Metazoa; Mollusca; Gastropoda; Neomphalida; Peltospiridae. The record is from RNAcentral.
AAGUAAACCAUAGCCUGUCUACAAAUAGUUUACCUACCGACUGUGGGUCGGGUCUUUACAGAAACAAAAUGCUGGUUGUCAUAAUAACUUAUGUCUAUAAUAACAUACAAAACGUUUCUUAAAAUUAGUAAUCAUUACAUAAAUACGAUUGUAACGCCAAUAACAGUGAAUAAACAUACUUUUAUAUUCUGACAACACAUUCUUAACAUUUAAAGAAAACUAUUCACAACUGUUCAUAUGUCUGCUGUUUUUGACAAAUAAGUUUGAUGGCCGAUAUCUACCGGUGGAAUGUUUCAUCCAGAGAGCAUUUAGUUUCUUUUGUUUUCUCACAAGUAAAUACAGUAACACCAAUGACAAAAAAAUCCAGGGACAAGCUUAUAUUGCCUACUAUCUUUUGAAUACGGAAAACAUUUACAAGAUUCCUUCUUGAGUAAGUCAGCCAUCAGUACGUAUUACAUUAAAGGCAUUCAGUGUUACGUCUUCUGUUAUAUAUUUUAACAGUGCAUGUUAUGUUUAGUGUUAUGCUAGGGACAGGUAACACCAAUGACAUUUUACACUAAUCUCGAAUAAAAUCUCUAUCACGGCUGAUUACUAGAGGUAUCGUUAAAGACAACAAAUUUAGUUUUCUAUAUAUAAAUAAAAAAAAGAAUCUUGAAUUCUAGUAGGCAACAUUUAAACUGUAUUUUAAUAGUAAAUACGAUAUCGGUUUUUUUGUAACCUAGGGGAGAUUCUUGUUGAAAAAUGGGCUUAAAUUCGGUAAACAUUUCAGUUUUUAAGCCCAUGGGCUUCAUUUCAUGUAGGAUUAAACACGGGAAAGCCCGAUAUUUCUUUACUUUAUUAUUUAUUUAUUUAUUUAUUCUUUUCUUUUUUUUUUACUUUAUGGAGGUCAAAGUUCAAACGACAAACAAUAAUUGCGUGACGUCAUCUACAUAUAAGGGCGGUUUUACAACAGCUUGUUCUGAAUGUGUACGUAAACCCUAUGACCUGACCUAAAUGGAAAGAGCUAGAGCGCUCGCUCGAGAUGCAAUGGGUUGUGCGGUGUGGAAUGACACGGGCUGCCAGGCAAUGUCCCACGACACCAAAGUCAUAGCGGCGUUUCUCUUAGUGCAGGGGAUACAUUUGUCCGAGAUGCGAUGGGUCGUGUUGUGUGGAUGGACACGUGCUUACCCCAAUCCCGGGAAUAUCCGACGACACCAAAGCCACGGUCAGCGUCUCACUUACUGGAGAGAGAACGCUCGUCCGAGAUGCGAUGGGUUGUCGAUGUGGAUGGACAUGGGAUUCGGGGAAAGGGAUGCCCCACGACACCAAAGCCAUGGUACGUAAAUAGUGCGGUCAUAAUAGUAAUAAUCAGAGAUAGAAAGAUUGAUAAAUAAAUAGAUAGAUAGAUAGAGAGAAAGAGGGGAGAGAGAAAUACAUGCACAUGGAUUAAAUUGAUCACCAUUUGUUUAUAAUUCCAAACUCUAAAUAGCUAUUAAUCGGUACCAUUCCUAAAUUUCUAUGAAACACCGGUCUGCUUGACCAAUGAAAUUGGAGUUACAUCUGUACGCAGUGUGCCAUUUCGCCAAACACAAGUUGCAAGAUAUAUGUUUUAUGUAUGGCAGUUAUUUAAUGCCCACCUUUAAUGGGAAUUUUGUUUAAUGAGUUAAUUUUUCAAUGUUGUGUAUCAAGAUAAUAUUGUUUAAAAAUAAACGGCCAUUUUUCAAUUCAAUGUGUGUAAUGUUCUUAUUUAGAGAAAACAGGGGCGUAGGCUAGGAGGGGUUCGGGAGAUUCGGACGAACCCCCUGCUGAAGCAAAUGGUCCGCUUUCAGAACUAAAACAUACAGGUUUAUACAUAUGGAGUUUCUGGUGGUGCAAAAACAAAAUAGAAAAAGGUCCACUUGGUUCAUAUUCGAACCCUCCCAGGUCCAGAUCAUGCAAGCCCCUGGAAAAUUCCCACCGAAACGAGCUCACCGGGUUGGCUGGAAUGACCUUUGUACUGCUACAAUUAUACAAUUGUGUGACGCUAUCAGUCUGAUAUUUUUAUUAUAAGGU